GGUUAAGCGACUAAGCGUACACGGUGGAUGCCCUGGCAGUCAGAGGCGAUGAAGGACGUGCUAAUCUGCGAUAAGCGCCGGUAAGGUGAUAUGAACCGUUAUAACCGGCGAUUUCCGAAUGGGGAAACCCAGUGUGACUCGUCACACUAUCAUUAACUGAAUCCAUAGGUUAAUGAGGCGAACCGGGGGAACUGAAACAUCUAAGUACCCCGAGGAAAAGAAAUCAACCGAGAUUCCCCCAGUAGCGGCGAGCGAACGGGGAGGAGCCCAGAGCCUGAAUCAGCAUGUGUGUUAGUGGAAGCGUCUGGAAAGGCGCGCGAUACAGGGUGACAGCCCCGUACACAAAAGCGCAUGUGCUGUGAGCUCGAUGAGUAGGGCGGGACACGUGGUAUCCUGUCUGAAUAUGGGGGGACCAUCCUCCAAGGCUAAAUACUCCUGACUGACCGAUAGUGAACCAGUACCGUGAGGGAAAGGCGAAAAGAACCCCGGCGAGGGGAGUGAAAAAGAACCUGAAACCGUGUACGUACAAGCAGUGGGAGCACCCUUUGGGGUGUGACUGCGUACCUUUUGUAUAAUGGGUCAGCGACUUAUAUUCUGUAGCAAGGUUAACCGAAUAGGGGAGCCGGAGGGAAACCGAGUCUUAACCGGGCGUUAAGUUGCAGGGUAUAGACCCGAAACCCGGUGAUCUAGCCAUGGGCAGGUUGAAGGUUGGGUAACACUAACUGGAGGACCGAACCGACUAAUGUUGAAAAAUUAGCGGAUGACCUGUGGCUGGGGGUGAAAGGCCAAUCAAACCGGGAGAUAGCUGGUUCUCCCCGAAAGCUAUUUAGGUAGCGCCUCGUGAAUUCAUCUCCGGGGGUAGAGCACUGUUUCGGCUAGGGGGCCAUCCCGGCUUACCAACCCGAUGCAAACUGCGAAUACCGGAGAAUGUUAUCACGGGAGACACACGGCGGGUGCUAACGUCCGUCGUGAAGAGGGAAACAACCCAGACCGCCAGCUAAGGUCCCAAAGUCAUGGUUAAGUGGGAAACGAUGUGGGAAGGCCCAGACAGCCAGGAUGUUGGCUUAGAAGCAGCCAUCAUUUAAAGAAAGCGUAAUAGCUCACUGGUCGAGUCGGCCUGCGCGGAAGAUGUAACGGGGCUAAACCAUGCACCGAAGCUGCGGCAGCGAACGUAUCACUUAAAGCGAUUCAGCGGGUUACGAUUGACGGAGCGAAGCGACGUCAAAGCGUAUACAAAGUCGAGUCGGUUUAAGGAUACGUUCGUUGGGUAGGGGAGCGUUCUGUAAGCCUGCGAAGGUGGCCUGUGAGGGUUGCUGGAGGUAUCAGAAGUGCGAAUGCUGACAUAAGUAACGAUAAAGCGGGUGAAAAGCCCGCUCGCCGGAAGACCAAGGGUUCCUGUCCAACGUUAAUCGGGGCAGGGUGAGUCGACCCCUAAGGCGAGGCCGAAAGGCGUAGUCGAUGGGAAACGGGUUAAUAUUCCCGUACUUGGUGUUACUGCGAAGGGGGGACGGAGAAGGCUAUGUUGGCCGGGCGACGGUUGUCCCGGUUUAAGCGUGUAGGUGUGUGUUCCAGGUAAAUCCGGUUCACUUUAACACUGAGGCGUGACGACGAGGCACUACGGUGCUGAAGCAACAAAUGCCCUGCUUCCAGGAAAAGCCUCUAAGCAUCAGGUAACAUCAAAUCGUACCCCAAACCGACACAGGUGGUCAGGUAGAGAAUACCAAGGCGCUUGAGAGAACUCGGGUGAAGGAACUAGGCAAAAUGGUGCCGUAACUUCGGGAGAAGGCACGCUGACACGUAGGUGAAGUGAUUUACUCACGGAGCUGAAGUCAGUCGAAGAUACCAGCUGGCUGCAACUGUUUAUUAAAAACACAGCACUGUGCAAACACGAAAGUGGACGUAUACGGUGUGACGCCUGCCCGGUGCCGGAAGGUUAAUUGAUGGGGUCAGCGCAAGCGAAGCUCCUGAUCGAAGCCCCGGUAAACGGCGGCCGUAACUAUAACGGUCCUAAGGUAGCGAAAUUCCUUGUCGGGUAAGUUCCGACCUGCACGAAUGGCGUAAUGAUGGCCAGGCUGUCUCCACCCGAGACUCAGUGAAAUUGAACUCGCUGUGAAGAUGCAGUGUACCCGCGGCAAGACGGAAAGACCCCGUGAACCUUUACUAUAGCUUGACACUGAACAUUGAGCCUUGAUGUGUAGGAUAGGUGGGAGGCUUUGAAGUGUGGACGCCAGUCUGCAUGGAGCCGACCUUGAAAUACCACCCUUUAAUGUUUGAUGUUCUAACGUGGACCCGUGAUCCGGGUUGCGGACAGUGUCUGGUGGGUAGUUUGACUGGGGCGGUCUCCUCCUAAAGAGUAACGGAGGAGCACGAAGGUUGGCUAAUCCUGGUCGGACAUCAGGAGGUUAGUGCAAUGGCAUAAGCCAGCUUGACUGCGAGCGUGACGGCGCGAGCAGGUGCGAAAGCAGGUCAUAGUGAUCCGGUGGUUCUGAAUGGAAGGGCCAUCGCUCAACGGAUAAAAGGUACUCCGGGGAUAACAGGCUGAUACCGCCCAAGAGUUCAUAUCGACGGCGGUGUUUGGCACCUCGAUGUCGGCUCAUCACAUCCUGGGGCUGAAGUAGGUCCCAAGGGUAUGGCUGUUCGCCAUUUAAAGUGGUACGCGAGCUGGGUUUAGAACGUCGUGAGACAGUUCGGUCCCUAUCUGCCGUGGGCGCUGGAGAACUGAGGGGGGCUGCUCCUAGUACGAGAGGACCGGAGUGGACGCAUCACUGGUGUUCGGGUUGUCAUGCCAAUGGCACUGCCCGGUAGCUAAAUGCGGAAGAGAUAAGUGCUGAAAGCAUCUAAGCACGAAACUUGCCCCGAGAUGAGUUCUCCCUGAGACUUAGAGUCUCCUGAAGGAACGUUGAAGACGACGACGUUGAUAGGCCGGGUGUGUAAGCGCAGCGAUGCGUUGAGCUAACCGGUACUAAUGAACCGUGAGGCUUAACCUU
This 2987-nucleotide ribosomal RNA is filed under the name Salmonella enterica subsp. enterica serovar Rubislaw. RNAcentral's name for it is "23S ribosomal RNA". It matches the Rfam family "Bacterial large subunit ribosomal RNA". Lineage: Bacteria; Pseudomonadati; Pseudomonadota; Gammaproteobacteria; Enterobacterales; Enterobacteriaceae. The record is from RNAcentral.